Molecule: ribosomal RNA, 687 nt
Filed under: Bacillus velezensis
Lineage: Bacteria; Bacillati; Bacillota; Bacilli; Caryophanales; Bacillaceae
Description: bacterial SSU rRNA
Rfam family: Bacterial small subunit ribosomal RNA
Source: RNAcentral
UGCAAGUCGAGCGGACAGAUGGGAGCUUGCUCCCUGAUGUUAGCGGCGGACGGGUGAGUAACACGUGGGUAACCUGCCUGUAAGACUGGGAUAACUCCGGGAAACCGGGGCUAAUACCGGAUGGUUGUCUGAACCGCAUGGUUCAGACAUAAAAGGUGGCUUCGGCUACCACUUACAGAUGGACCCGCGGCGCAUUAGCUAGUUGGUGAGGUAACGGCUCACCAAGGCGACGAUGCGUAGCCGACCUGAGAGGGUGAUCGGCCACACUGGGACUGAGACACGGCCCAGACUCCUACGGGAGGCAGCAGUAGGGAAUCUUCCGCAAUGGACGAAAGUCUGACGGAGCAACGCCGCGUGAGUGAUGAAGGUUUUCGGAUCGUAAAGCUCUGUUGUUAGGGAAGAACAAGUGCCGUUCAAAUAGGGCGGCACCUUGACGGUACCUAACCAGAAAGCCACGGCUAACUACGUGCCAGCAGCCGCGGUAAUACGUAGGUGGCAAGCGUUGUCCGGAAUUAUUGGGCGUAAAGGGCUCGCAGGCGGUUUCUUAAGUCUGAUGUGAAAGCCCCCGGCUCAACCGGUGAGCGUCAUUGGAAACUGGGGAACUUGAGUGCAGAACAGGAGAGUGUAAUUCCCCGUGUAUUGUCGAAUUGCGUACUUGAAGUGCAGAAACACCCGUGGCGUUGCAAC